RNAcentral lists this ribosomal RNA (750 nucleotides) under uncultured bacterium. RNAcentral describes it as "bacterial SSU rRNA". It matches the Rfam family "Bacterial small subunit ribosomal RNA", at positions 16 to 757 of the family's 1533-position model. The record is from RNAcentral.
GACCUGGCUCAGAUUGAACGCUGGCGGCAGGCCUAACACAUGCAAGUCGAGCGGUAACAUUUCUAGCUUGCUAGAAGAUGACGAGCGGCGGACGGGUGAGUAAUACUUGGGGAUCUGCCUGAUGGCGGGGGACAACCACUGGAAACGGUGGCUAAUACCGCAUAAUGCCUACGGGCCAAAGUGUGGGACCUUCGGGCCACAUGCCAUCAGAUGAACCCAAGCGAGAUUAGCUAGUUGGUGAGGUAACGGCUCACCAAGGCGACGAUCUCUAGCUGUUCUGAGAGGAUGAUCAGCCACACUGGGACUGAGACACGGCCCAGACUCCUACGGGAGGCAGCAGUGGGGAAUAUUGGACAAUGGGCGCAAGCCUGAUCCAGCCAUGCCGCGUGUGUGAAGAAGGCCUUCGGGUUGUAAAGCACUUUCAGUGGUGAGGAGGGCGUCGUAGUUAAUAGCUGCAACGAUUGACGUUAGCCACAGAAGAAGCACCGGCUAACUCCGUGCCAGCAGCCGCGGUAAUACGGAGGGUGCGAGCGUUAAUCGGAAUUACUGGGCGUAAAGCGCACGUAGGCGGCUUGUUAAGCAAGAUGUGAAAGCCCAGGGCUCAACCUUGGAAUUGCAUUUUGAACUGGCAAGCUAGAGUUUUGAAGAGGGUGGUAGAAUUUCCAGUGUAGCGGUGAAAUGCGUAGAUAUUGGAAGGAAUACCAGUGGCGAAGGCGGCCACCUGGUCAAGAACUGACGCUGAGGAGCGAA